This 322-nucleotide ribosomal RNA is filed under the name uncultured eukaryote. Its description in RNAcentral is "partial 18S ribosomal RNA". It matches the Rfam family "Eukaryotic small subunit ribosomal RNA", at positions 1470 to 1796 of the family's 1831-position model. The record is from RNAcentral.
CCCUUAGAUGUUCUGGGCCGCACGCGUGCUACACUGAGUAAUUCAAUGGGUAAGGGAACGCUAGAGCAUUACCUAAUCUUGUAAUUUGCUCGUGAUGGGGAUCGACGGUUGCAAUUUUCCGUCGUGAACGAGGAAUACCUUGUAGGCGCAUGUCAUCAUCAUGCGCCGAAUACGUCCCUGCCCUUUGUACACACCGCCCGUCGCUCCUACCGAUUGAGUGAUCCGGUGAGGCUCUGGGACCUGGACGGAAAGAGCGUUUCGCUUGUUCUGUUUGGGAAACUUGGUCGAACCUUAUCAUUUAGAGGAAGGAGAAGUCGUAACA